AAUGAACGCUGGCGGCGUGGAUUAGGCAUGCAAGUCGAACGAGAAAAUACCUUCGGGUAUGAGUACAGUGGCGAAAGGGUUAGUAAUACAUGGAUAACCUGCCUCUAAGACGGGGAUAACUCGAAGAAAUUCGGGCUAAUACCCGAUGAUAUCAAGUGUCUCUGGACAUUUGAUCAAAUGGUGGUUUUACAAUUUCUGCUUAGAGAGGGGUUCAUGGCCUACUAGUUUGUUGGUGAGGUAAUGGCUCACCAAGACGAUGAUGGGUAGCCGGGCUGAGAGGCCGAUCGGCAACACUGGGACUGAGACACUGCCCAGACUCCUACGGGAGGCUGCAGUCGAGAAUCUUCUGCAAUGCGCGAAAGCGUGACAGAGCGACGCCGCGUGCGGGAUGAAGGCCUACGGGUUGUAAACCGCUGUCAGAGGCUAUAAAACGUUGGAGUAACGAUCCAACCUGAUGUUAACCUCAAAGGAAGUCAUGGCUAACUUCG
RNAcentral lists this ribosomal RNA (488 nucleotides) under uncultured Planctomycetota bacterium. RNAcentral describes it as "bacterial SSU rRNA". It matches the Rfam family "Bacterial small subunit ribosomal RNA", at positions 29 to 505 of the family's 1533-position model. Lineage: Bacteria; Pseudomonadati; Planctomycetota. The record is from RNAcentral.